GACGAACCGUGCGAACGUUGUUCGGAAUCACUGGGCUUAAAGGGCGCGUAGGCGGCUCGCAAGGUCGGGGGUGAAAUCCCGCAGCUCAACUGCGGAAGUGCCUUCGAUACCGGCGGGCUCGAGGAAGGUAGGGGUGCGCGGAACUUCUGGUGGAGCGGUGAAAUGCGUUGAUAUCAGAAGGAACGCCGGCGGCGAAAGCGGCGCACUGGACCUUUUCUGACGCUGAGGCGCGAAAGCCAGGGGAGCAAACGGG
Molecule: ribosomal RNA, 253 nt
Filed under: uncultured bacterium
Lineage: Bacteria
Description: partial 16S ribosomal RNA
Rfam family: Bacterial small subunit ribosomal RNA
Source: RNAcentral